Molecule: ribosomal RNA, 424 nt
Filed under: uncultured bacterium
Lineage: Bacteria
Description: bacterial SSU rRNA
Rfam family: Bacterial small subunit ribosomal RNA
Source: RNAcentral
UAAGGAAUAUUGGUCAAUGGAGGCAACUCUGAACCAGCCAUGCCGCGUGCAGGAAGACAGCCCUCUGGGUCGUAAACUGCUUUUAUUCGGGAAUAAACCACAUUACGUGUAGUGUGCUGAAUGUACCGAAGGAAUAAGGAUCGGCUAACUCCGUGCCAGCAGCCGCGAUAGUACGGAGGAUCCAAGCGUUAUCCGGAUUUAUUGGGUUUAAAGGGUGCGUAGGCGGCUUAUUAAGUCAGGGGUGAAAGACGGUGGCUCAACCAUCGCAGUGCCUUUGAUACUGAUGAGCUUGAAUACACUAGAGGUAGGCGGAAUGUGACAAGUAGCGGUGAAAUGCAUAGAUAUGUCACAGAACACCGAUUGCGAAGGCAGCUUACUAUGGUGUGAUUGACGCUGAGGCACGAAAGCGUGGGGAUCAAACAGG